UACGGGGGGGGUAAGCGUUGUUCGGAAUUACUGGGCGUAAAGGGCGCGUAGGCGGCCUGCUAAGUCGAACGUGAAAUCCCUGGGCUCAACCCAGGAACUGCGUCCGAUACUGGUUGGCUUGAAUCCGGGAGAGGGAUGUGGAAUUCCAGGUGUAGCGGUGAAAUGCGUAGAUAUCUGGAGGAACACCGGUGGCGAAGGCGACAUCCUGGACCGGUAUUGACGCUGAGGCGCGAAAGCCAGGGGAGCAAACGGG
RNAcentral lists this ribosomal RNA (253 nucleotides) under uncultured bacterium. RNAcentral's name for it is "partial 16S ribosomal RNA". It matches the Rfam family "Bacterial small subunit ribosomal RNA", at positions 524 to 776 of the family's 1533-position model. The record is from RNAcentral.